UACGUAGGUGACGAGCGUUGUCCGGAUUUACUGGGCGUAAAGAGCGCGCAGGCGGUCGUUCAAGUCGAGUGUGAAAGCCCCCGGCUCAACUGGGGAGGGUCACUCGAUACUGAUCGACUCGAAGGCAGGAGAGGGUAGUGGAAUUCCCGGUGUAGUGGUGAAAUGCGUAGAUAUCGGGAGGAACACCGGUGGCGAAGGCGGCUAUCUGGACCGACAUUGACGCUGAGGCGCGAAAGCGUGGGGAGCCAACAGG
RNAcentral lists this ribosomal RNA (253 nucleotides) under uncultured bacterium. RNAcentral's name for it is "partial 16S ribosomal RNA". It matches the Rfam family "Bacterial small subunit ribosomal RNA", at positions 524 to 776 of the family's 1533-position model. The record is from RNAcentral.